This 1051-nucleotide long non-coding RNA is filed under the name Gallus gallus (chicken). RNAcentral describes it as "lncRNA (ENSGALG00010028381.1)". Lineage: Eukaryota; Metazoa; Chordata; Aves; Galliformes; Phasianidae. The record is from RNAcentral.
CCUGGUGGAAAUCUCUGCUUACCAGAGGCUUUCAAAAGAUACAAGCCAGCUUCACCUUCAGAGAGACAAUGGACACUACCCACAAAGUUGUCACGAUGUUACUGAACAUCACAGACAAAAGGAAGACAUAGAGCCAGCAGUGACUCCUAUAGGAAGAGCUUAAAAAACAAAACAAAAAAAACAGCAUUCCAACACAAGGUUUAUAAGAAGCAUCCAUCUAUUUAACAAAGAAAACACGUUGUGGAUUUUUAUUUUAUUUUAGAUACAAAGUAGUUUAUCAUCUCCUGAGAAGUACUAGGAUUAUAUUCAGUUUUGCUUCUCUUGCAUAAAAUUGCCCAGAAGCAGUUUGAGCAUUCACUGGAGAAGUUCUACCCACCAUGCCAAUGUCCUUGGCUCUCUCUCUGGAUACACCAGAGCAUUGCUCAAGUCAUGCUGACCUUUGCAGCAGGAUAAACAUAUGUACCUUGAUUUCAGCAAGGCGUUUGACAGUGUCUCCCACAACAUCUUUGUUAUGAAACUUAAAAAGUGCAGGAUAGAUGAAUAGAUGGUGAGCUGGAUUGACAACUAACUGACUGGAAGAGCUCAGAGUGUGGUCAGCAGUGGUGCAGUCUGGUUGGAGGCCUGUAACCAGCAGUGUUGCCCAGGGUUUGGUUCUGGGCCUGGUCUCAUUCAACAUCAUCAUCAACAACCUGGAUGAAGGGAUAGAGUCCACCCUCAGCAUGUUUGCUGAUGACACAAAGCUGGGAGGAUUGGCUGACACACCUGAAGGCUGUUCUACCAUUCAGCAAGACCUGGACAGACUGGAGAGUUGGACAAAGAGGAACCUGAUGAGGUUUAAUAAGAGCAAGUGUAGAGUCUUGCACCUGGGGAGGAAUAACCACAUGCAUCAGUACAGGUUAGGUACCUGCUGAGGAGGAGCUCUGCAGAGAAGAACCUGGGAUUUGUGGUGGACAACAGGAUGGCCAUGAGCCAGCAGCGUACCCUUGUAGCCAAGAAGGCCACUGAUAUCCUGGAAUGGAUUAAAAAGAUCCUGGCCAGCAAGUCAAGGGAG